This 497-nucleotide ribosomal RNA is filed under the name uncultured bacterium. RNAcentral's name for it is "partial 16S ribosomal RNA". It matches the Rfam family "Bacterial small subunit ribosomal RNA", at positions 28 to 507 of the family's 1533-position model. The record is from RNAcentral.
GAUGAACGCUGGCGGCGUGCCUAGUACAUGCAAGUCGAGCGAACGGACGAGAAGCUUGCUUCUCUGAUGUUAGCGGCGGACGGGUGAGUAACACGUGGAUAACCUACCUAUAAGACUGGGAUAACUUCGGGAAACCGGAGCUAAUACCGGAUAAUAUUUUGAACCGCAUGGUUCAAAAGUGAAAGACGGUCUUGCUGUCACUUAUAGAUGGAUCCGCGCUGCAUUAGCUAGUUGGUAAGGUAACGGCUUACCAAGGCAACGAUGCAUAGCCGACCUGAGAGGGGGAUCGGCCACACUGGAACGGAGACACGGUCCAGACUCCUACGGGAGGCAGCAGUAGGGAAUCUUCCGCAAUGGGCGAAAGCCUGACGGAGCAACGCCGCGUGAGUGAUGAAGGUCUUCGGAUCGUAAAACUCUGUUAUUAGGGAAGAACAUAUGUGUAAGUAACUGUGCACAUCUUGACGGUACCUAAUCAGAAAGCCACGGCUAACUACGUG